This is a long non-coding RNA of Molossus molossus (Pallas's mastiff bat), 513 nucleotides long. RefSeq lists it as uncharacterized. NCBI's taxonomy places the organism in Eukaryota, Metazoa, Chordata, Mammalia, Chiroptera, Molossidae. The transcript has 3 exons. The record is from RefSeq and is a predicted model, not a curated record.
UCCAUUCACUCCACUCCCAUUUUCAAAUUUUGACAAAGAAGGUUUUAUAAUUUUAAUCUCAGCUGGAGCCAGGAACUUUUUGUGAAUAGAAUACAUUGAAGUUUGGAGAAACAAUCGAUAUCACCGUACAAUGGAAAGAUAGAGCUUUUUAAUUUAAAAUUUAUUGCAUUUCUAAUUUAAGUAUGUGCGGUUUAUUAUAUAUCAAUAAAUCUGUAAAGUUUUUUUAUUAAUGUAAGAUAGAAAUUACUGCAUUUCUGGAGAUGGAGGUGAACCAAGUAAUGUGCCAUUUCUAGCCGUGAUCAAACUGGUUGACUGUAUUUGUUGUUUGCGGAGAGUGGUUGGAGAGGAGAUAGAUGCUGAUCAAACUUAAAUAUCUUGCAGUAACUAUAAAGAUAUUGUCCAACGUUAUUCCAGCUUGCUUUGAUUUGGGCAAGAAAAGUCUCCAUACCUGUGAUGCAGCCUGAAAAGUCUUUCUAGAUCAGAAAUUCUCUGGGCAGUCUUUGCAAGAGCACA